This 1433-nucleotide long non-coding RNA is filed under the name Lynx pardinus (Iberian lynx). The record is from RNAcentral. Lineage: Eukaryota; Metazoa; Chordata; Mammalia; Carnivora; Felidae.
CUCAGCCUUGGACAAGAGACGGAUGGUAGGAAUCUGAGGUUGGAAGGACCUUGUUUCGCUCUCCCACUAGUCCCUGAGACUGGCCUCGUGACCCUCAAACUGGCUCUGAUCUCCCUGGCCAGCUGGGCCUGUUCCCUUCUCCGCCUACCCCACCCCCCCACCCCCUUCUCCCCGCAGCCUCCGGUCUCCGGCAGAAAGGGGGCGGGGGGGAAAAAAGCUUGGAUUAAGUGGUGAGCUGCCUGCCUCUAAAACGACCAGGAGGCGUUUCAAGCCUGAGUGCCGGAAAAACCACGGCAAUCUUCGGCAGCCACCACGUGGGGCAGCGAGAACGACAGCGGUACCUGCAGGACCCACAGCCGGCCAGGCUCUGGCGCCAGCCUCGACGGCGGCCCGGCCAUCUCCGCCCGGCGGGUCCUUGGCCUCACCUCCUCCGGGGGUUCGGUUAACCUCCUGGCGCUGCAAGGUGCCUGCGCGCAGUUCGCGGGCGAGGCGGGUGGCGGGAGGCGGGAGGCGCGGACGGCUCCACCUGAUGGAGAAGAGUGGAGAGUCUUAGACCUCGGCGUGCACGGCGCGGCGCGGCGAGGCGAGGCGAGGGGAGGGGAGGAGAGGAGAGGGGAGGGACAUGGAGGGGAGGGAAAGAGGAAGACCGCCUCCCCACCCCCAUCCCACCGUGGGAGCCUGCGCGUCCAGAGCCCGGGACGAGAGGCGCUGGGGCUCUGGGCACGGCCCGUGGACGUGACAGCCCUAAAGAGACAGCAGAAAACCAACACUUGGAAAACUGCCCGAAUUCUUGUUCUGUGCACAUGCCGGCUCCAGGUCUCUGAUGCGCCCACAGCGCAAGCCGUGGUCCCUCACCAGCAGGUGGCAUCCUCUCCAGCAUUUCUUGUCCUGGACCAUAGCCCAGGAGGCCGAGUUCAUCAAUCCCCAGCCCCCUUCUCCAGGGCCUUCAGUGCCCAGUCCUGUGUCCUUUGAACCACCCGGCUCUGGCGUGCAUUACAUACGCGGAGGCCGGAGCCCACAGAGAAUAGGGCUGGCUCCCAAUUCUGCUGCUCGCCGGCCAAGAAGCUUCAGAAGGGCCAAGUCUCCGCAGGACUGCUUCCAAGCCCUGCUCUCCUGGCAGCAAGCAUGCCCCUAGAGUUUUCUGAGGUCUGGGACAAAGAGACCAGGUGGGAGGGGUCCAGGUGCAGCGCUGUGGGGAUACUGCCUCUCAAUACCCUGAGCGGCCGAGUUCCCACGGACCAUGCAGACCCUAGCUCAUCGUUACUUUCCAGUGACUGUUCCUUGAUGUUAGUGCGAUGUCUGGAAUAUUUAUUAUUUCCUCCAUUUGUGCAAAGGCCUGUUUGGGUACUUAAUAACGAUGUGUGGAAUGAAUACAUGAAUUCCUGUUCUUGGAAAGUUUGUCCUCCAAUUGGGGAAAAGUAAACACAUGGGGA